This 492-nucleotide ribosomal RNA is filed under the name uncultured bacterium. Its description in RNAcentral is "partial 16S ribosomal RNA". It matches the Rfam family "Bacterial small subunit ribosomal RNA", at positions 29 to 507 of the family's 1533-position model. The record is from RNAcentral.
AGUGAACGCUGGCGGUAGGCCUAACACAUGCAAGUCGAACGGCAGCACAGUAAGAGCUUGCUCUUACGGGUUGCGAGUGGCGGACGUGUGAGGAAUACAUCGGAAUCUACUUUUUCGUGGGGGAUAACGUAGGGAAACUUACGCUAAUACCGCAUACGACCUACCGUUGAAAGCAUGGGAUCUUCGGACCUUGCGCGAUUGAAUGAGCCGAUGUCGGAUUAGCUAGUUGGCGGGGUAAAGGCCCACCCAGGCGGCGAUCCGUAGCUGGUCUGAGAGGAUGAUAGGCCACACGGGAACUGAGACACGGUCAAGACGACUACGGGAGGCAGCAGUGGGGAAUAUUGGACAACGGGCGGAAGCCUGAUCCAGCCAGACCGCGUGGGUGAAGAAGGCCUUCGGGUUGUAAAGCCCUUUUGUUGGGAAAGAAAAGCAGCAGGUUAAUACCACGCUGUUCUGACGGUACCCAAAGAAUAAGCACCGGCUAACUUCGUG